GUCACAUGCCCUAGAGAAGCUGAGGGCACUUAGGUCUGAUGCCCAGUCUGGUAACCUCUAGGGGCAAGAGGACUGGAAGACUGCCUCUACAUGCAUCUGAUCACUUCAUGCCCAUUGUUCAAUUAGUAUGCUCCUAGCAUGCCUCUACCUCCCAGGCCCAGAUCCUUUCCUUGGGUGGCACUGGGCCGUCCCUCCACCAGAUAAAAUGGAGAAGUAAGCAUAAUGGCUUUCUUCCUAGCCCACGUGCUUCCGCCAUCCUCUUCAUCCCAGUUUCAGAGGCCCAUUGUCAGUUUUCUCCCCGCUGGGUAGAGGUUAUUUGUUUCCCACAUAGCCUGCUGAGCAACUUACUCUUUACCCAGCAGCGUCUAAAGCACUGUUGCUGUUACAGGCUGCUUUCACCUCCUGAGUUUAUCUUGUAAAGAAAAAAAAAGACAAAUGACUUCUUUUGGCGCUCUUGGUGUGGUUUCAAGGGAAUGAAAUCCUAAGGAUGUGUUCUGUUCAUCUUGGUAGCUGGGGUUCUGUGUUCCUUUUUGUAUUAUGGGAAUCUGUCAGCAUUGAUGAUGCAAAGUCAAAGGCUUCUGGGUCUUUAUGGAAUGCCUUUGGAGGAGACGACUUAGCCGUUAAGAGCACUUGGCUUUUCUUCCAGAGGACCCAGGUUGGAUUCCCAACAUCCACAUUGCACCUCCCAAUCAUCUAUUACUUAAGCACCAGAGGAUCUGAUGCUCUAUUCUGGCUUCUGUGUGCUACAGGUGCCUGCUUGAUGCACAAGCAUACAUGCGGGCAAAAUACUUACACACAUAGAAUAAAAUAAUAAUGAAAGCUUUUUAUAAAUGAAAAUAGAGCAGGGAAUGAUGGCAGGUAGAGGCAAGCAGAUCUCUUGAGUUCAAGGCCAACCUGGUCUAUAAAGUGAGGUCCAGAACAGUCAGGGCAACAGAGAGAAAUCUUGUAUCAAAAAG
This 956-nucleotide long non-coding RNA is filed under the name Mus musculus (house mouse). RNAcentral describes it as "long non-coding RNA chrX:10535770-10536726". The record is from RNAcentral. Lineage: Eukaryota; Metazoa; Chordata; Mammalia; Rodentia; Muridae.